GUAGGGUGCAAGCGUUAAUCGGAAUUACUGGGCGUAAAGCGUGCGCAGGCGGUUCUGUAAGACAGAUGUGAAAUCCCCGGGCUCAACCUGGGAAUUGCAUUUGUGACUGCAGGACUAGAGUUCAUCAGAGGGGGGUGGAAUUCCAAGUGUAGCAGUGAAAUGCGUAGAUAUUUGGAAGAACACCAGUGGCGAAGGCGGCUUACUGGACGAUAACUGACGCUGAGGCUCGAAAGCGUGGGGAGCAAACAGGAUUAGAUACCCUGGUAGUCCACGCCCUAAACGAUGUCUACUGGUUGUUGGGGUUUAUUAACCUUGGUAACGAAGCUAACGCGUGAAGUAGACCGCCUGGGGAGU
Molecule: ribosomal RNA, 354 nt
Filed under: uncultured bacterium
Lineage: Bacteria
Description: bacterial SSU rRNA
Rfam family: Bacterial small subunit ribosomal RNA
Source: RNAcentral